UACAGAGGUGGCAAGCGUUGUUCGGAAUUACUGGGCGUAAAGGGCGCGUAGGCGGCCUUGUAAGUCCUGUGUGAAAUCCCCUGGCUCAACUAGGGAACUGCACAGGAGACUGCUUGGCUUGAGUUCGGGAGAGGGAAGCGGAAUUCCGGGUGUAGCGGUGAAAUGCGUAGAUAUCCGGAGGAACACCGGUGGCGAAGGCGGCUUCCUGGACCGACACUGACGCUGAGGCGCGAAAGCCAGGGGAGCAAACGGG
This 253-nucleotide ribosomal RNA is filed under the name uncultured bacterium. RNAcentral's name for it is "partial 16S ribosomal RNA". It matches the Rfam family "Bacterial small subunit ribosomal RNA", at positions 524 to 776 of the family's 1533-position model. The record is from RNAcentral.